Molecule: transfer RNA, 75 nt
Filed under: candidate division MSBL1 archaeon SCGC-AAA259O05
Lineage: Archaea; Methanobacteriati; Methanobacteriota
Description: candidate divison MSBL1 archaeon SCGC-AAA259O05 tRNA
Rfam family: tRNA
About the family: Transfer RNA (tRNA) molecules are approximately 80 nucleotides in length. Their secondary structure includes four short double-helical elements and three loops (D, anti-codon, and T loops).
Source: Rfam by way of RNAcentral
AGCCCUGUGGGGUAACGAGGUAAAACCCGCUGGGGUCUGGUCCCAGAGCAAGAGGUUCAAUUCCUCUCAGGGCUA